CUGUCACAGGCCGCACAGGUCUCUGACACCUGCCUUGUCCCUGUAGCUUCUUCUGCCCGGCCAACACCUCCUCUGUGCUGGGGAACCAGUGUCCUGCCGGCCACUACUGUCCUGCCUCCACUGCCUUUGCUUUCCAGUUCCCCUGCCCCCGCGGCACCUACAGGCCACAGAGAGGGGGCACCCAGUGGUCAGACUGCAGCCCCUGUGAGCCAGGCUUCUACUGUCCCUUGCCUGGCCUGGCAUCCGUAUCUGGACCUUGCAGCGCAGGGUUCUACUGCACUCAGGGAGCAUCUGUCCCAAAUCCCAGCGAUGGGACCACAGGAGACCUCUGUCCUCUGGGCCACUUCUGCCCCCAGGGCAGCCCCAGGCCCACUCCGUGCCCCCCGGGUGAGUCACUGGUGGAUGAGCACCAGCAGUGAGGGGUCUGCUCUGGGCCCAGGAGGGGAGCGGAGUGAAGACCAGCCUUGGGAGGCCUCGGGGAGGGUACGGAAGAUGCCCCACGUGGCACUUAAAAAACAUCGUUCGGGGCUCUGGAUCCACAUACCCGGGGCUUGUGUGUGGAGAGACUUAGAGCCCAGAUCCAGGGCUCUGAGGGAGGCCUGAACAGGGAGGGGGAUGACAGAGGCGCGGUGAGAGUGCAUGGUGCCAGCAGGGGAAGUGGACGAUGAGACACGGAGGUGCUGCACAGCGGGCACUGGUCUGGGAGGCCAAGUGGGCAGAGCAGAGCACGGCCCUGUAAUCCGAGACCGGCCAGCGCUAGUGUCCCUUCCAGAGGCCCCCCGGUGGUGGCCAUAGUGUUGAACCUGCAGGCUCUCUCCUGCCCAUCCCUGGGGCCACGUCAUGGAAGGACUGCCAGCCAUGCCCAGCCGGUUGGCUCUGCUCCCGGGCUGGCCUGAGCUCCCCGGACACUCCAUGCAAAGGAGGUUGGUUCUGCCCUGGGUCCUCCGUCUCUGGACACAGUCCAGGUAAGCUUGGGAAAGAGGUGCCGUGGGGUGCCCAGGGCCAGCCUGGAGGGGAGACAAGGCCUGUGGGCUCUCCCUCCAGGUAAGGGAGGCCACUGUUCACAGCUUGGGAACGGGGUGCUGUGGGGUCCCCUGUGGGCUGGCCUUGAGGGGAGACAAGGCCGGUGGGCUUUCCCCCUGCACUCGGGCUCCCAUAGCCUGGCAGUAGGGAGGUGGCCCUUGUGAUCUGGAGCCCUGCGACCUGUGGACACCUGGGGACACCGUGCACCGGACAGGCUCCCCAUGCACCCAAGCUCAAGAAGGGGGUAGGACCCAGCCUGCAUACUGCUUGGUGGUGACCUCCAUUCUUAGGCAGCCUCCCCACCAGCGUGGGGAGGACAGCCCAUGUGCAAGGCAUGGCCCGAGAGCAACAGCAUGGGAGGGGGCUCCUGACCAAGGAUGAGGCUCCUCUGACGCUGCAGUUCUCAGGAGGCACCCCCCAAACUGUCCGCAUCUGGAAGCUCUGGCAUAAAGACAGUUUCACCUCCAGAAUAUGGACACAGAGCACAGGCUUCCAGUCCCACCCCACUUCUUCCCACAGUUUGGCUCCCAAAUGAGCUUUUCACUGCAACUGGCAUCUCAUGCCCUCACCAGUCGAGGGUACUCAGGAAACCUACUCUGUGAGCCCAGGAGGGCUUACUACUGCUUGCCAGUGCUCCAUGUUUUGAGAGCACAGGGGUCUCCCAGGGCCUUAGUCCACACGGCAAUUCCCGCAAGAAGCUACAGUUUCAGGGACACCUCACAGGACUAGGACCGGGGAGCCCCUCAUGAGAAGUGAGUGCAGCCUGAGACUGCCCUGCACGCCGGCUCCAGCCCAGCCUGGAGCACUUGUCCUGCACCUGCUCGGCCAGGCCACUGCAGGCCCAACUCCUGCCCCACACGGCCCUUCCACACAGUGGACCAACCCUUCAGGUUCUUGGGGGACUGAGCUGUGAGGGUCCCGGGCCCCACAGAUCAUAUGCCCGCCUCCGCCUCACUGACUGGAGUCAGCUAAGGCUGCUCUGGGCUCUGGCUGGAAGGAGAUGGGGGCUCUCCUGAGAGGAAGUAACUGUCUUCCCCGGCUUUUCCAGGCAUUCUCUGCCCCACUGGGCACUCGUGUCCCCCAGGCAGCCUGGAGCCCCAGCUCUGCCCCCCGGGGCAAUAUCAGGACAAGCCUGGACAGAGUCUCUGCAAGACUUGCCCUGCUGGAAAGUGAGGCGCUGGGCUGGGCUGGGCUCCUCCUCUGUCUGGGUGACUCCUGACUUCUCCUGCCCCCACGCCCCAGGAGCCCCCACAUGUUGCAGGGACUGGUGGCCACGGGCACUCCGGGCCCCUGUCACCCUGUGAAAUCCAGCAUAAUAGACACUAACACCAGUGCAGGGGCGUGGAGGGCUGCAGGCUUCAAACAAGACUCUGAGAGAGGAGGACAUUUUUGCCUCAGUGCCCAUCUCCUCUGAACUCACAACUGCUUCUGCCCCAACCCUCCACAUCCCGAGAGCUCUGGGCAAGCCCCCUUCCUAGAAAGUCUGCGGCUAUAGAAGUCCUUGUUCCUUUGUUCCUGACCACCUCAUGUCCACAGGUUCUGUCCCUAUGGGAUCCAAGCUCCAGGAGCCAUGUCCCUUUGGCCAGUGGACUGUCCAGCCGGCUACUACUGCCCUUUGGGCACCCAGAGCCCCACCCAGCACCCUUGUCCCAGGGGCACCUUCAGGGAGAGGCCCGGUGCACGCAGCACUCAGGACUGCAGGCCCUGCCCUGCUGGACAGUUCUGCUCGGACUCAGGUGAUGAGCGCCAUUUCCCAGGGACUUUGAGGGUCCUAAAUGGUUCCA
Molecule: long non-coding RNA, 2807 nt
Filed under: Capra hircus (goat)
Lineage: Eukaryota; Metazoa; Chordata; Mammalia; Artiodactyla; Bovidae
Description: lncRNA (ENSCHIG00000005916.1)
Source: RNAcentral